CCUACGGGACGCAGCAGUAGGGAAUCUUCCACAAUGGGCGAAAGUCUGAUGGAGCAACGCCGCGUGAGUGAAGAAGGGUUUCGGCUCGUAAAACCCUGUUGUUAGAGAAGAAAGAGAGAGGGAGUAACUGUCCUUUAUUUGACGGUAGUUACUUAGAAAGUCACGGCUAACUACGUGCCAGCAGCCGCGGUAAUACGUAGGUGGCAGGCGUUGUCCGGAUUUAUUGGGCGUAAA
Molecule: ribosomal RNA, 234 nt
Filed under: uncultured bacterium
Lineage: Bacteria
Description: partial 16S ribosomal RNA
Rfam family: Bacterial small subunit ribosomal RNA
Source: RNAcentral